GCAGGGAUAGCUCAGUUGGUAGAGCGGAGGACUGAAAUCUC
This 41-nucleotide transfer RNA is filed under the name Hyoscyamus reticulatus. RNAcentral describes it as "partial tRNA-Phe". The record is from RNAcentral. Lineage: Eukaryota; Viridiplantae; Streptophyta; Magnoliopsida; Solanales; Solanaceae.